This 401-nucleotide ribosomal RNA is filed under the name uncultured bacterium. RNAcentral describes it as "bacterial SSU rRNA". It matches the Rfam family "Bacterial small subunit ribosomal RNA", at positions 355 to 773 of the family's 1533-position model. The record is from RNAcentral.
UCGGGAAUUUUGGGCAAUGGGCGAAAGCCUGACCCAGCAACGCCGCGUGAGGGAUGAAGUAUUUCGGUAUGUAAACCUCGAAAGAAUGGGAAGAAUAAAUGACGGUACCAUUUAUAAGCUCCGGCUAACUACGUGCCAGCAGCCGCGGUAAUACGUAGGGAGCAAGCGUUGUUCGGAUUUACUGGGCGUAAAGGGCGCGUAGGCGGCGCGGUAAGUCACUUGUGAAAUUUCUGAGCUUAACUCAGAACGGCCAAGUGAUACUGCUGUGCUAGAGUGCGGAAGAGGCAACCGGAAUUCGUGGUGUAGCGGUGAAAUGCGUAGAUAUCAAGAGGAACACCUGAGGCGAAGGCGGGUUGCUGGGCCGACACUGACGCUGAUGCGCGAAAGCCAGGGGAGCAAAC